This 497-nucleotide ribosomal RNA is filed under the name uncultured bacterium. RNAcentral's name for it is "partial 16S ribosomal RNA". It matches the Rfam family "Bacterial small subunit ribosomal RNA", at positions 28 to 507 of the family's 1533-position model. The record is from RNAcentral.
GAUGAACGCUGGCGGCGUGCCUAAUACAUGCAAGUCGAGCGAACGGACGAGAAGCUUGCUUCUCUGAUGUUAGCGGCGGACGGGUGAGUAACACGUGGAUAACCUACCUAUAAGACUGGGAUAACUUCGGGAAACCGGAGCUAAUACCGGAUAAUAUUUUGAACCGCAUGGUUCAAAAGUGAAAGACGGUCUUGCUGUCACUUAUAGAUGGAUCCGCGCUGCAUUAGCUAGUUGGUAAGGUAACGGCUUACCAAGGCAACGAUGCAUAGCCGACCUGAGAGGGUGAUCGGCCACACUGGAACUGAGACACGGUCCAGACUCCUACGGGAGGCAGCAGUAGGGAAUCUUCCGCAAUGGGCGAAAGCCUGACAGAGCAACGCCGCGUGAGUGAUGAAGGUCUUCAGAUCGUAAAACUCUGUUAUUAGGGAAGAACAUAUGUGUAAGUAACUGUGCACAUCUUGACGGUACCUAAUCAGAAAGCCACGGCUAACUACGUG